UUCUGACUUGUGUCCUUGUACUUAACCAGUCUCCUUGAUUUUUCUUCCACUUUUGAUGAUGUUGGUUUGGGAAAAUGCAUUCAUUCAUCUGACACCUAAAUUUAGGGACCUGUUUUCUAGAAAGAGCUCCAAAGUGGUGAAAACCCAAGUAAAUACGUUAUUUUUGGCAUGUUAGAUACUGACUCCGUUUUUAGAAAUUGCUCUUGGUGCACAUUACGGUAUAAUCCUUGAGUGGGGUUUUGAUAAAUUUGAUUCAUUACCUAGUAGCAGUACCAGCAAGGGUUUACAAGAGAGAAGUUGUAACUAUGUUAAUUCCUUUGCCUAGUGGAAUGUUUGAAUCAUUGUAUAUUUUGGCUUGUAAUUUUUUAAAACCACUUGGCACUGGGUAUUUUUUGGAUUGAAUUGGGAAGUUGGAAUUUAAUUAUUGAACGUCAGUCUCAGCAGCCCUUUUUGUUUUUUAUUUUCACAACAGCUAAAUUUAUAAUCAGUGAAUUUGAAUAGUGUUGAACACUUGAAUCAGUGUUUUGAAUAGUGUUGUAUAAAAUGAGAGAAGUUCAGUCACUGAUACUUUUAUGUUAGGGCAACUUUGAAAGCUCUUUGGGGUUGUGAAAUAAAAGGUACUCUAGAAUUGCACUGGGCCCAGUACUAGGCUACUUGGUAAAUGCUUCUUUGUUGAAUGAAUGGUCCAACUGAUUUUAUUUAUGCAGUUUCAGGAGUGGUUUGCACUUGUUGGUGCAGGAGACGGUGCAGGAGAUGUAAGAGACACAGGUUUGAUCUCUGGAUUGGGAAGAUCUCCUGGAGGAGGGCACGGCAACCCACUCUAGUGUUCUUGCCUAGAAAAUCCCUUGGACAGGGAGCCUGGUGGGCUACGGUCUAUGGGGUCGGAGCGACCAGCACGCACACAGGCACCAUCAUGUUACUGACAGUGCGGUCAGGGGGAGAAGUAUGGGUGAGGAGUAAGAUGCGAUGGGAGAGAGAUUUCAGCAGAUUUUAUUAAUGAACCCGAAAUGGGAAAGGGAGAGGUGUGUGAAGGCUGCUUUCCAAGAUUCUGGUUGGGAGAAAGGUUAGUGCCAUGGCUAGAAAUGGGGUUGUUAGCAGACUGGCUGUGGGGGAAGAGUUACACAUUUACUUUCUGACGUAAUUAAAUGUAAGUUUUUUGUAAGAUGUUUAAGUUGAAAGGAAGAAGCAAGAAGUAGGAAUGAAGAGAUAAGAAGGUGUGUUACUCAUCCUUGUGGAGUAUGGCUUACAGGCAUAGGGAAGGGUGACUUCUCUCUCUGAAAGUUCAAAGACAGAGCCAAGAACUGGCAUUCAUGGAUGGCUUCUUAAAGAUAAAUCUGAAGAGAUUCUGGUGUUUAUGUCGGUUGAAAUUACUUUGAAAGUGAUCCCUGCCCUUGGUGAUAAAAGACAUGUAGUGAUAUUUCAGGAAAUUAGAAAGUUUGAAAAGGUAUCAAGUUUUCAGUUACCUUUGAAAAAAUAUCAAAGGAAAAACAGAUAAUUACUGGUGACUUUCUGGUCUUUUUCUUGUGCAUCUAGAAGAAUAGGAAAUUUAUACAUAUAUGUGAGUAUACAUGUGAUACACAUAUGUACGUGUGAUCAUACACCACAUAUGCUUUCAUAGCCUGCUUUUUUUGUUUAAUGUUGCACCGUAACCAUUUUUCCACAUUGAAUUACUGCUUAAAAGUACUAUUCUUUAAAAACUAUAUUUUCCCUGUCAUUUAGAUUUAUAUUUAAUCAACAGCUUUAUUGUUGAACACUUAGAUUGCUUUGAAAUUUUUUUACUCUGUUAAUAAUACUAUAGUAAACUUUGAUAAAAUAUAUAUUCUUCAGCUGUUACUUAAAUAUGAGCUCUCUGAAAGCAAAGACCUCCAUAUCUGUAGGACUCGGAAGAAUGCCUAGACAUAGGACUUGCUUAAUUAAAGAAAAAAACAGUUAUUGCCAGGAUGGAAGAAGACCAUUAAAUUCUCAGUUCCUCUUACUUCCUUAAUUCUGAUUCCAUGCAUACUUCGGAAUCUUAUUGUGAUUUGGCUGUCAGUAGGAAUCUGGUUGUAAUGAAAUGACUGGCCAUGUAUGUCCACAUGACAGGUGUUCUUCCUUCUGUCACUGUCAUAUUUGUCAUUCUUAACCAUUUUUGAGGGGUACACAAUACAGCAUGUGGGAUCUUAGUUCCCCGACAGAGAUUGUGCCCCCUGCUCUGGAUGUGUUUUCUUUUGAAGACCAUUAUCACCUUAUUUUCCUAUGGUAAUAAAAGCACAUUUUGAAGAACUGGCUGACCCAGUUCACAGAUUCAUUUUACUUCGGGAAAACUUUAGUAGAAAACUAGAAACUUUCUAAUUGUAUUAGGGGAAGCCUAGUGUAAAAACCUUUUAACUAAGAGGUAUGAUUUGAAACAUAUUUUUGUACUGGAGGCUUCUAUUGAACUCUACCUAAACCAAAUAAGACCUGCUAAAAGCUGUAGAAAUAGAUUUAUUUUUUAUAUUCCAUCCAGAUCUUUUCUGUUGCACCUUAUGCUUAUGUUAUGUAUUGCCCCCAAGGGAAUCACAUAAAGCUGUCACCAUGUUCAUGUAACACUUGAAAUGACUGUUCCCUUAGUUACUAAAGGGUUGUAUUUGGUUAUGGGUUUUGAUCCCAACUGCCCAGGGUUUGGCUUGGCCAGAUCAGCUACUGAAGACUUAGAUAUCUGAAUACCUUUCACCAGC
Bos taurus (domestic cattle) is the source of this 2696-nucleotide long non-coding RNA. The record is from Ensembl. NCBI's taxonomy places the organism in Eukaryota, Metazoa, Chordata, Mammalia, Artiodactyla, Bovidae.